RNAcentral lists this unclassified non-coding RNA (247 nucleotides) under uncultured fungus. Its description in RNAcentral is "sequence contains ITS2". The record is from RNAcentral. Lineage: Eukaryota; Fungi.
AACGCACAUUGCGCCCCCUGGCAUUCCGGGGGGCAUGCCUGUCCGAGCGUCAUUUCAACCCUCAAGCUUUGCUUGGUCUUGGGCUUUUUUGCUAGCAAUGGCAGGCCUUAAAAUUAGUGGCGGAGCCGCUGUGGUCCUGAGCGUAGUAACAUACCCUCGCUACUGGUCCUCGGCGUGCCUCUUGCCAAAACCCCCCCAAUUUACUAUGGUUGACCUCGGAUCAGGUAGGGAUACCCGCUGAACUUAA